UGGGGAAUCUUGCACAAUGGGCGCAAGCCUGAUGCAGCGACGCCGCGUGGGGGAGGAAGGCCCUAGGGUUGUAAACCCCUGUCAGGUGGGAAGAGCAAGAGGUCGGCGAACAGCCGGUCUCCCCGACGGUACCACCAGAGGAAGCUCCGGCUAACUCCGUGCCAGCAGCCGCGGUAAAACGGAGGGAGCGAGCGUUGUCCGGAAUUACUGGGCGUAAAGAGUGCGUAGGCGGCCGUGUAAGUCGUGUGUGAAAGGCCGGGGCUUAACCCCGUGUAUGGCAUACGAUACUGCAUGGCUGGAGACAGGUAGGGGCGAGCGGAAUUCCCGGUGUAGCGGUGGAAUGCGUAGAUAUCGGGAGGAACACCAGUGGCGAAGGCGGCUCGCUAGGCCUGAUCUGACGCUGAAGCACGAAAGCGUGGGGAGCAAACAGGAUUAGAUACCCCUGUAGUCC
This 451-nucleotide ribosomal RNA is filed under the name uncultured prokaryote. Its description in RNAcentral is "bacterial SSU rRNA". It matches the Rfam family "Bacterial small subunit ribosomal RNA", at positions 355 to 796 of the family's 1533-position model. The record is from RNAcentral.